UCACUGUUAGGGAACCUCAGGGUUGGGGGGCUCCCGAUAAGCUGAACCAACAGGACUCUUGCUAAGGGCAGCUACGGGGGUGAGACACCCCGGAGGGCAGGGGGGCGGGGGGUAAGGACCCUGAUCAGACAUGGAGGUUGGGGAUUCUCUCCACACUGACACAGCAAGAUCGUCAGCAGGGCUCUGCCCCAGUGGAGACGGAGCCCAGGGUGGGGCCUCGUGGAGCGGAGGUCAGGGUAGCCUGACUCAAGCCUGGUCCAGAGAGAAUCUUCGUCAAUAUGAAUGUGUGAGGGAAAGGGGAAGAUAUCUGGGGGGGGCAGGGUGCUCCUGAGAGGACUCCAGUGGCUGGCUGUCCAUGUACCAGAACCCUGCAGCCUCUCUUUCUGAUCUAUGGCUCAAACCCUCUAAAUCUCCAGAAAGGGCGUGGUUCUCAUUCACAGCUGCUGGCCAAAAACCCCCAGGCCAGCCCAACAAAGGCUGCGGAGGGCUCUGGUGACAGCCCCGCCCUACGCCCUGGGAUGUACUGACGAACUCAAGACCUUCCAGGGAGCUCUUGGUCCAGUAGGGAAGCAAGGCAAGCUCACAGAUCAUGCGGCAAGACAGAUCCCCACUGCCCACCACGGUCCUAUGGAGAGGGAGAGGUUGGUUCUGAUUAAGGCGGGGCCUGGGUGUAGGGCAGAGCAUCCCCAACAUUCUCCCCACUCCCUCACCUCUCUCUCCUUUAGGGAACCACCCUUCCCACUGCAAGGAUGGGUGGGUGGGGAGGGCAACGCUACGGACCAGAAGCUCCAACUCCAGACCCAACCCAAGUCCAUUCCUGAGAUUUCAUACCUGGAUGCUGGGAGAUGGAAGUCCUCUCUCAUGCUUAGAGCAUUAGGGUGUAAGAUCCUUGCUGUCUGUGCCCUUGUGCCCCUGUUCCCAUGUGUCCCUGUGUAGUGGAGUGGGGCAACGCCAAACUGAUCACACCCUAGUGGCAUCUAUGAAGCUCCUAGAUCAAACAUCUCCUGAAGGUAUCCCCCGGAAUUCUUUAGUUGUGUGAGCAAAUAAAUUGUCCUAUUUUAUUUAAGCUGAGAUGAGUUGGUUUUUGUCCCUUGCCAUGGAGAGAAUCCUGUUCAACAUAGGGGAUCUAAAUUACGUUUAUGGAGGAGGCAUCACUGAAGCGGGUCUUUAAGCAGUGGGGGUCUGGCGAGAGAAGAGGGAAUCCAGACAGAGGACGAUUGAAGCUAAGGGGUGGCCGGGGAAGUUGAGAGCAUAGGUGAGCCCCCCUCCCCUGCUUUGCUCUUCACAGUAUUCUGCUUGACUCAGCAUAGUGGGCACGCCACAAAAUCAGUGACUGAUGAGUGUUCGGUUGAAUGCGGAACACAACUAGAACACUGUGCUCACAGACGCCUGGAAAGACAGGUUUGGAAUCCUCGGGCAUCGCCAUCCGUCCCAGCGAAUUAGCCCUGAGAGCAAGUGGCUAACGGCUCCCUGGCCAGAGACAUGUAGCCCCAAGCUUGGUUUCUCCCCGCAUGCCCCGUAUGUAGAAAACUGCCCAGGACGUGGGAUCCCACCGGACUCCUUCCAGGUUCACGAACCUUCCUGAAGGGAACAUCUCACUUGAAAUCAAUAAUGACAAACCAACUCCAAGUCAGCUCUUUUGGGUGCCAGCAACCAAGAGGAAGAAACAGAGGCUCAGAGGGGAUGAACCUUGACUGCGACUGAACAGUGCCAGGACGUGCGCCCAGAUCACUCUGGCUCCGAGCUCCGCCAACCACUUCUCACCGCUUCACCAGGCAAAGGGGUCCAAGCUGUCCAACACCUGCCAGAAGCCAUCAUCGCUGAGCCACUACCCUGCCCCCGGCCCCGCUCCUCCCCUCGUCCUCCUGUCUUCCCCGGCUAGCUUCCGCACAGCUGACGGAAUUCUCCUUUCAAGUAUGAGCCUCCCCAGGAAAAGACAUCAAAGUCCUUGCAGGGACCACGGAUCUGAACUAGCCAUCUCACCCCUCCCUCGGUUCACAGUAGACUCGCCCGUCACGUGCAAGCACACGCCUCCCUCGGCUGGAACGCUGGUCCCCUCACUUGCUGCAGGCUUCACGUGGAGGGGCCUGGGCCUGCCCCUGCCCUGGGAGCCUGGGUUCUAACGGGCCUGGGACUGGCCUGGGCAUGGGGUCUGAAGCUCCUGGUGGCUCAACUGUGCAGCUGAGCUGAGGACCGAGGCUCUAGCCCCUGGCUGUCUGGAAGGCAGGAGCCCAGAGCUCCUUGGCUCUCCCGGUUCUCUCUCUCUCUCUCUCAUCAGCAAACUGAUGGCUCACAUCCCACUGAUUAAAGCGGAUGAGACAGGAGGGCCCUUCUGCCAAGGACAACCAAGCAACCAACCAUCCCAUCCAGCAGCCCCAAGGCUGAGUUACCGGCGGAGGGAAUGGCUCGGGGAGGCGGGAAGAGCUGUGGGCUGGUGGGUUGUGCUCCCGAGUCGGGGCCUCUCCUGUUCUCUGCUUGUCACUGGAAAAGUUGUGUGCCUUUGGGCAACUACCUAAACCAUCUCAUCUUUUUUUUUUUUAAUUUUUUUUAAAGAUUUCAUUUAUUCAUUUCUACAGAGCACAAGCAGGGGGAGCGGCAGGGAGAGGGAGAAGCGGGCUCUCCACUGAGCAGAGAGCCCGAUGUGGGGCUUGAUCCCACGACCUGAGUGGAAGGCAGACAAUUAACCGACUGAGCCACCCAGAUGCCCCAACCAUCUCAUCUUUAAAACGGGACCAUCAUGGUCCCCAGUCGUGAAGGUUAAAUGUGGCAACAACAUCUGUUGGGGGUUCAGCACAUUCCUGACACAUCGGAGAAGCUCGAAGCCUGAGCAGCACAAGGCCACGAGCUCCUGGGGGCGGCUUUCUGGAGUUUGUUCGGCACCCGGCCCCUCCCCGUGCUCAGACAUGAGGCUGUGAGCUCCGUGAGGGCAGAAAUGGGUCUGUCUUAUUGCUGUGACUCCAGCACUUGGAACACAUGCGUGGUAACAGAGGACAUGGAACAUCGAACGUGAAGACUGUUUUCCUGGACUCACUUCUCCCCUGGGAGCCCAGAGUACCACUGUCCUCACGGAUUGGUGUGCGCCAAGUUCAAACCCAAGUCAGCGUGCAUGGCUCCCAAGCAGGACCCAGAAGACAGGAGCUGUCUGUGACAACUCAGACAAUGUUACUGCAGGUGGGGGCUCGCACGCCAGAAACUGCAUUAACAUUUGACAGCCACGGAAUUUUCAUGGCAAACCUCCGAGGGGGGUAUGACUGUCCUCCCACUUGUCAGGGUCCAUCCGUUCUGAUCCUGGGCGGAGACCCAACGGAUGGAUGUACAUGUGUGCACAAAAGCCACGCGCAAGAGCUUCACCCCGGCACUAUUCACAACAGCCCCGCGCUGGAAACAGCGCAGUGUGUGCCCCUGUGGAAAGGGUGCGUCACGGUGUCCUUCGUACCGCGGAACCGUGCUCACAUCCAGCCACACGGAGGAAUCUCGCACGCUUGGAGUGACGUGGAAGAAACCAGACAGCCGAGUGCACCUGCGGUAUGGCUCCGUCUACAUUCAGUUCCAGAAGGGACAAGACACGUCCAUGGGGACAGAUGUGGGGCGGGGGGGGGACUGGGAUGGGGCGGGAGGCUUCUUGGGCUGGAACACCAUGGUCUUCACGGCGUGGUCACCUUGCAAAGGCUCACGGAGCCCAACGCGUGCUUCUGGUUUGCAUGCUUUUCCGAAUGGGAGUCCUACUUCCAUCGAAGUUUACCUAAAAUAACCAAAAAGAAAGAAAGCAGACCUAGUCUUCAGCCACUCACUCUCCUGAGAGCCCAUUUUAUUUUCCUCGAGUACCUAUGAGAGGGAGUCACAGGCACAUUUGGGGGCUCAGUGUUGUGAGUUCACAGUGUACUUUGCUGCUAAGACGCUGUGCGAUUUGGGCGAGUUACUUAGGGUAUCUGUGCCUCUGACAACUCAUCUGUGAAGUGACCGUGAUGCUCAUGGCAGAUGGGACUUGCCUCAUGGGCGGUUGCGAGGCUUGACUGAGUUAAUAUGUCGAGAGACAGAGAGCGUGAACUUGGACCUGGACUCGUGCACAGAUUUCUAUGGGCAUCAGAGUACUUCCUGUCCUCGGGGAUUAGCCGUUGAUGUAACGUCCGCCUCCCUGGCUGACGGGCAAGCUUCGAGGUGGCAGGGGUCUUGCCCGUCUUCCUAGGAUGCUGCUGGACCAGGUAUUUAAUAAACAUUCAUCAAAUGACUGAGCAGGGUGUCAGGGGACCCUUGAGGCAGAGCAGCCCCUGAACAAGCAGGAAAGGAGGGAUUUUGGGCACAUGAGCUGAUGGAAAGUCAGUGUGGCCUCCAGUGGAAGGGAGACCAUCUGGGACCCCUUACUUGUCCAGUGUCCAGAAGGGGGCUGCUUCCCAAAGAACCACGCUUAUGAUCAACGGGAACCUUGGGAGGGAAGGGGAGACAAGGGGCGCACGUGGCUAUGCCAGCACCCUCUCCCUGCUUCCCUGGGACCCUGAGCCCCCAGAACAAAAUUAAGCCUCCAGUGUCUCUCCUGCCACAGUGGCUGUAGCACUUUCUUUCAAGUUAUGCCAGGAUCACCAAAGACCAGAAACAUGUUCUCUGGAGGCACUGAACCAGACGCAAAGUCUCCCCUGCACCCCCGUCGCAGCUCCUUAGAGCUGAGACCCCAGCUCAGAGGAGCAGGGUCCCUGGACCCCAGCCCUGCUGGGCAGUGGGUGGAGGCCAGGCGGCUGGAUUUGCCCGGGGGGCGAUCGGGGCUGGUGCGGAUGUGCGCCCACCGUUCCCAGUGAGCUCUGUUUGACAGGACGUAAUAAAACAUCUUUUAAUCUUUGUCACUGUGGGUAGGCGGAGAGGCCAAAAGUCUCCAUGUUUUAAAGGGAAAUUUUAAUUAGUAUGUAAAUUCGACUCACGGCAUUAAAAUGUCAUUUGCUAAGUAAAUGUUGCCGCGCUCCGAGUUCAGGUAUUUAUUUGAUCCUGUCCUGCCAAGGUGCCUUUGUGGGU
Ailuropoda melanoleuca (giant panda) is the source of this 5001-nucleotide RNA transcript. RefSeq lists it as uncharacterized. The record is from RefSeq and is a predicted model, not a curated record. NCBI's taxonomy places the organism in Eukaryota, Metazoa, Chordata, Mammalia, Carnivora, Ursidae. The transcript has 5 exons.